This 681-nucleotide ribosomal RNA is filed under the name uncultured bacterium. RNAcentral's name for it is "bacterial SSU rRNA". It matches the Rfam family "Bacterial small subunit ribosomal RNA", at positions 616 to 1295 of the family's 1533-position model. The record is from RNAcentral.
UGGAACUGCAUUUGAUACUGGCAAACUAGAGUAUGGUAGAGGAAUGGGGAAUUUCUGGUGUAGCGGUGAAAUGCGUAGAGAUCAGAAGGAACACCAAUGGCGAAGGCAACAUUCUGGACCAAUACUGACACUGAGGGACGAAAGCGUGGGGAUCAAACAGGAUUAGAUACCCUGGUAGUCCACGCUGUAAACGAUGAGUACUAGCUGUUGGAUUCGGUGUAAAGGAUCUAGUGGCGUAGCUAACGCGUUAAGUACUCCGCCUGGGGACUACGGCCGCAAGGCUAAAACUCAAAGGAAUUGACGGGGACCCGCACAAGCGGUGGAGCAUGUGGUUUAAUUCGAUGCAACGCGAAGAACCUUACCUGGUCUUGACAUCCUGCGAACUUUCUAGAGAUAGAUUGGUGCCUUCGGGAACGCAGUGACAGGUGCUGCACGGCUGUCGUCAGCUCGUGUUGUGAAAUGUUGGGUUAAGUCCCGCAACGAGCGCAACCCCUAUUGAUAGUUACCAUCAUUAAGUUGGGUACUCUAUUGAGACUGCCGCUGACAAGGCGGAGGAAGGUGGGGACGACGUCAAGUCAUCAUGGCCCUUACGACCAGGGCUACACACGUGCUACAAUGGGUAUUACAGAGGGCAGCGAAGUAGCGAUAUGGAGCGAAACUCAGAAAGGUACUCUUAGUCCG